UAAAUUUAUUUACCAAAAUUAGCAUCGAUGCUAAUAUAAUAUAUACUUAAUAUUUACAUUUUCCAAAUUUGUAUGUCUUCCUAAUCAUAAAUUAUAUUUAUGUCAAAAGUGUAGAUUUAAAAAUGAAGAAUCUUAUUGCUUACAAUUUUCUCUUUUACUCUUAAUAUAAAUCUCUUUCGUCUACACCCAUCUCCUUUAUCCAUACUUAUCUUCUUCAUUCAUACUCAUCUUCAUCCAUAAUUAAUUGCUUUAUUCAUAUACAUGUUCAUACUCAUCUCCU
This 280-nucleotide long non-coding RNA is filed under the name Vigna radiata. Its description in RNAcentral is "long non-coding RNA (VRAD_LNC014093)". Lineage: Eukaryota; Viridiplantae; Streptophyta; Magnoliopsida; Fabales; Fabaceae. The record is from RNAcentral.